GAGGUUAAUAGCAAAUGUUUAUUUUCCUGUAAUAAAGAGCAGGGUGCAACCAUCCCGCUGUUAACGGAGUGACUUCAUAUUAAUCUACAAAUUGUUCUCUUUUGCUUCAAAUGGAAGACAACCUUAUACAAUGCUUUUCUUCAAUUCCUUUCAUCUCAAAGUGCUUUACAAAGUGACACCAGGGGCAGAGGGAAUAUCCCACAAACCAAAACAUCUCCUACAGAAAAAGAUCAUCUCAUUCCCAGUGCUGCAAGGCAGCCACGUCUGUUGUGCAAUGUAGCAGUGAAUGGCACAGGACUGUAGAGAUCAGAAUGACAGGGGGAGCAGAUACAAGGAGAAACUGCCAGGGGUAGGAUUUACCUGAGCUGGAAUCUUUAGCUGGGGAAGGAUACUUCUAGUUUCUCCUCUGGAAAAGCUGAUGUUAAAUCAUCACAGACUCUACCAAGAGAUGCAGGUUUAUCACUAGCUCAAGACCCAGCCAUACCCUUACCCAAAGAUGUAUUUUCCAGGCUUUUACUUCACAUUUAAGACACAUUCCUUUGGUGAAGAGUAGCAGAUAUAACAAACUCAUCUAGCUAGGGUGAGCAGCAUGAGUUGAGACACUCAGCUAUGGCAAGCAAAAGCAGAUCUGAGGUGUUCAGAACUCAAUCUUGGAGGUCAGCCCUUUCUGAGCUGAAGGAGGUGGAUUCAAUGCUCCUAUCUAUUGUCAGGAAUGUGUCCUCCCAGCUCUGGGGAUGUCAAUUCAAAUUUCACAUGGCUAUUAGACCUUCCAUAUAGCCAGUAUAGCUAUAAGGAAAGAAGUCCCCUGAGAAGCAACUCAGCAGCAUACUGUGAGUGUGCUCAGUGACUGCAAAGAUUAUUGUGCUCAUGGGGGUCUCCUACAGGAAGGUUUUCUCAGCUCUGCUGUGAAACUGUCCUUACAUCAAAUUCCAAACCAUGACUUUCACCUUCCCUGUUUAUUCCUUCCUCCUCUGGACAGAAACACAGCAGCUCAGUUUUCUUCCACUGAAGAUAAGAGUUCCUACUGUAGCAUCUCUCAGGAGAAGAUGAAACUUAAUGGAGCUGAGGAUGGUGAUAUGGUUCUGGACACCGACUUGCUAAGAUGACAGUUAUGAUGAUGGCAGAGGGACAGGGUGACAUGCCAGUCAAGAGUGCAGAAAUGCCACGAGAUGAAAACCCCAGGGUUUCAUUGGGUGGUGGCUGAGCAGAUUCCAGAGUCACUGAAAAAAAGGCUAAAUUGGCUAUAAAACACUGUCAUGGCUUUAACACAGCCCAGUACAUAAAAGCCUGGGUCUGAGCUCAAACUAUAGCAGGCCUCUGCAUUCCAACAGCUUUAGUAUUCCCUCCCAGAACAUUCUGAGGCAGACAGGAACCAUAGCCACAUCCCUCAUGUGCACACGAAGAUGUCUCAGAUUUCCUC
Molecule: long non-coding RNA, 1420 nt
Filed under: Strigops habroptila (Kakapo)
Lineage: Eukaryota; Metazoa; Chordata; Aves; Psittaciformes; Psittacidae
Description: lncRNA (ENSSHBG00005019038.1)
Source: RNAcentral